Molecule: long non-coding RNA, 247 nt
Filed under: Fukomys damarensis (Damara mole-rat)
Lineage: Eukaryota; Metazoa; Chordata; Mammalia; Rodentia; Bathyergidae
Description: lncRNA (ENSFDAG00000029121.1)
Source: RNAcentral
GGAAGGCCAAGUGGAAGUUCCCUUUCUAGUUUGUGUGGUAUGACACAGAUGUCACUACUGUGAGGAAGAAUGAAAUGUUAUCCAACCCUAAUCUCUGGCAGAUGUCUUAUCCUUCUCCAAAGUGAUGAUGUAGAAGCUCUCUUAACUCCAGGAGCUGCCCCAUCGUCCAGUCAUAUACAGACAGCUAAGUGGAAGCCAGGAAAGGUGAUUCUAAAAUCUUUUCCUUUAAGCAUCAGCCAGUCACAUA